AUUGAACGCUGGCGGCAUGCCUUACACAUGCAAGUCGAACGGCAGCAUGGAGAGCUUGCUCUCUGAUGGCGAGUGGCGAACGGGUGAGUAAUGCAUCAGAACGUACCGUGUAAUGGGGGAUAACGUAGCGAAAGUUACGCUAAUACCGCAUACGACCUGAGGGUGAAAGCAGGGGAUCGCAAGACCUUGCGUUAUACGAGCGGCCGAUGUCAGAUUAGCUAGUUGGUGAGGUAAAGGCUCACCAAGGCGACGAUCUGUAGCGGGUCUGAGAGGAUGAUCCGCCACACUGGGACUGAGACACGGCCCAGACUCCUACGGGAGGCAGCAGUGGGGAAUUUUGGACAAUGGGGGCAGCCCUGAUCCAGCCAUGCCGCGUGAGUGAAGAAGGCCUUCGGGUUGUAAAGCUCUUUCGGCCGGGAAGAAAUCGCACAGGCUAAUACUCUGUGUGGAUGACGGUACCGGCAUAAGAAGCACCGGCUAACUACGUGCCAGCAGCCGCAGUAA
Molecule: ribosomal RNA, 504 nt
Filed under: uncultured bacterium
Lineage: Bacteria
Description: partial 16S ribosomal RNA
Rfam family: Bacterial small subunit ribosomal RNA
Source: RNAcentral